CUAGGCGCUGUCCAUGCAGCGCCUAGGCGCUGCUUGCCUUCUUUUCCCUUUCUUCUCUUCUUGCUUCCCUCCUUCUCACACAAAGCAAACUGGAUGCUUGACCCAAGGAUCAAACAUGAGGAUGGCUACUUCGUCUAUGACAGUGGUUCUGAAAAAGAUGUCUGGGUUCAAACUGCUUGUCAGGAGCCACUUGUAGGGAAGGUGUGGCCUGGGCCGUGUGUAUUUCCUGACUUCACAAGAUCAGAAGCCCGCUCGUGGUGGGCUAGUCUUGUCAAGGACUUUGUUACUAAUGGUUUGGAUGGUUUAUGGAAUGAUAUGAACGAACCGGCAGUUAUGGAGGUGAAGUUCAAACUUUGUUAGAAGUGCAUUUCUUUCUUGGUUUUGCGUGACUUGUUUUGUUGCAGACUCCAACGAAGACAAUGCCUGAGAGUAAUAGUCACAGGGAAGAUCCACAACACGGAGGCAAAUAGAACCAUUCACAUUAUCACAAUGGUUAUGGUAUGCUGAUGGCAAGAUCAACAUAUGAAGGCAUGAAACUGGCCGAAGAACAAAAACGUCCAUUUGUUCUUGCUCGAGCUGGGUUUGUGGGUAGCCAAAGGUAUGCUGCUACGUGGACAGGAGAUAAUCUCUCUACUUGGGAGCACCUUCAUAUGAGUAUCUCUAUGGUUCUUAAUCUGUGUGAAGAAGUUUGUCGAUUGGCAUUGAUGAGGCGGUAUCGGCUUUUACCUCGCAUAUAUAAUCUGUUUUACUUGUCACAUACACUAGGGAUCCCUGUGGCAACUCCAACCUUUUUCGCCGAUCCCAAAGAUAUCAAGUUAAGAACACAAGAAGAUUCAUUCUUGUUGGGACCACUUCUUGUAUAUGCCAGGUGCCACAAUAGGAAAUAUUACUCUUCUAAGUUUUGUUGGGUACUGUAUUCGAUUUCGCAACAUGAAGGAAGAUCGGGAGUUGUGUCAAAUGCCGCACAAGUUGCCUCAAGGAAUAUGGUUUAAGUUUUGACUUAGAAGAUUCUCAUCCGGAUUUGCCAUCCCUGUAUCUAAAAGGAGGAUCCAUUAUUCCUUUGGCUCCUCCUCAUCAACAUGUUGGUGAAGCUAAUUGUAUAGAUGAUGUAACUCUGCUGGUGGCGUUGGAUGAACAUGGUAAAGCUGAGGGUUCUCUAUGAAGAUGAUGGUGAUGGAUAUGAAUAUCUUAGAGGAUACUUGUUGACAACAUAUGUUGCUGAACUUCAGCAUUAAAGAUUUCAAAAACUAAAGGAUCUUGGGAUAGACCAAAGUUGCCACUUACACGUGAAAUCACUAAUUUGCAUUGGCACUGUGCUUGAUGCAUGGGGUACUGAUGGGGAGACUGUGCAAAUCGAAUUUAUAUGGUAGAUGAAAAUGCUGAAAGUAAAUAAAGUACUGAAAGUGCAGAGUGCGAUGUGAGUGUAGAAAGUAAUGGAAGCGAUUGUCCGCUGGAAUGAUCAUAGCAUGUGUGUUCAUUUGUUAUCUUCCAUAUACAGUUCUUUUCAAUAAGGUUUGCAAUAAUUCUGGUAUGUAAAUAAGGGUAUAAACCCCCCUGAGUUUACUUGUAUAAGAAAUAAUAAGAAUUGUGGAGCAGACUCCCAUUCUUCUUGAUUUUUAACUCUUUGUUUCAUUUGUGUUGUU
Molecule: long non-coding RNA, 1643 nt
Organism: Olea europaea var. sylvestris
Lineage: Eukaryota; Viridiplantae; Streptophyta; Magnoliopsida; Lamiales; Oleaceae
Exons: 9
Source: RefSeq, a predicted model, not a curated record